AAUCUGUUUUUCAUACCAACGCGGAAAAAUUUCUUCGGGCACGGUAUAAACGAUUAUUUUACACGAGACGGAUUGCUGGAAUCGAACGGGGAGAUUGCGACCUAAUUUUGCAACGAUCUUGCUAUGAAGAACGGAAACUGGAUGCAUUCCAACCACCGAAAGCAGGUUCGCAGUGAAUUCAAUCUAAUUCUUUUUAACUCAGAUACAAAAUAUGAGGAUAUUCGCAGGGAGGAACCGUUGCUCUAAAACUAUUCCUAUAUACUACCUAUUCGUUCAAACAUAAAUUCGCCACCAUUUUAUAAUUAACACUCCGAAUGUUAAAACUGUAAUAAACAGAUGAUUCAUUAAAAGAAGGUAAACGGAGUCAAAAUAUCACACCUGAGUCAUGUGGCACGAUAAUUUCAAAACGCCUGGAUAAACUGUUCAUAUUACGCGGUAAAUCACAGAAACUGUUCUAAAGUUUCAUCAGGCAACGUAUUUACAAAAAGUAAAAAGCAUUUCUGGAAUUAAAAUACGUGCGAUAAGAUAAAGAAAUGCUUUCAAAUGAAAUUCCAUUGCUUUUCAUUCUCGAUUGGAUAAAAUAUACUUAUACUUUCUACAUUAUUUUCUCUGCCUCAACAAAAAACAGAGUGAAGAAAACAGCAAGUAAAAAAGUUUUAAUUUAAACUGGUCUAGCUAAGGAGUAAAGUUACUAUGUAACGGAAAGAGUUCUUUCACGUGGUUCUCCGAGACUGUGCAUUAAAUACUUAAUUCUUUAUCUUUUGCUGCAUCUUUUUUCCAUCUUAUGCCUUAAAGCGUGCAUGAAAAAUUACGAUGGAUCCAAAGCGUCAGAAUAACCGUGCAUUCCAUCGUAGUUUUUUUUUAUACGUUUUACGUGAUCGGUUUUUUUUUGCAAAAAAUAGAUGUUUGCGCAACUAUGCAUCGUUGGGGUCAAUCGGAAAAAAAUUGCGAAGUUCACUACACAAUAUAAUUGACACGAAUAUUAACUUCUAUUUAAAUUUCAAUUUUUUAUCGUGAUUUAUGAUUGCCGCCUAUCGAGUUAUUGGAGACGGAUUUUAAUAUUAGAAAAUUAGAUUUAAAUAUUGUAAAGAAAAUUUUGAAUAUUUUAUUCAUAUUUUCUGUUAAAUUAUAACGAAUUAUUUGCUGAGUUUACUAUAUUACCAGACGCGAAUCCACGUGGUUGCGGUCUAGCCAGAAGCUUCUAUCACUUUUUUUUGUUUAUAAACGAUUUACGAUCGAGAACUAAAACAAGAAAUCUUUACCGUCUACUGUUUGUGCGAAGUUACACGCGUAUACGUAAUAUCGUCGCGAAUAAUUUAAUAAUGGUUGAAAACUGUUUGUUGAAUAAUUUAUUUACGUGUGACUAUUUUGAUGAUAUA
RNAcentral lists this long non-coding RNA (1379 nucleotides) under Megachile rotundata (alfalfa leafcutting bee). Its description in RNAcentral is "uncharacterized LOC105661930, transcript variant X6". Lineage: Eukaryota; Metazoa; Arthropoda; Insecta; Hymenoptera; Megachilidae. The record is from RNAcentral.